AAAAUAUGCUAUCUUGUUAACCUGGAAAUCUUAAUCUUAGCAUCACUUGAUAUAAUCCAUUCAGGAACUCCAACCAACCAAACAUCACUUGAUAUAAUCCAUUCAGGAACUCCAACUAAUCAAGCAUCACUUGAUAUGAUCCAUUCAGGAACUCCAACCAACCAAACAUCACUUGAUAUAAUCCAUUCAGGAACUCAAAGAAAAUUUAAAAUAUGCUAUCUUGUUAACCUGGAAAUUUUAUUCUUAGCAUCAUUUAUAAUCUAUUCAGGAACUCCA
Molecule: long non-coding RNA, 276 nt
Organism: Gordionus sp. m RMFG-2023
Lineage: Eukaryota; Metazoa; Nematomorpha; Gordioida; Chordodea; Parachordodidae
Exons: 4
Source: RefSeq, a predicted model, not a curated record